GACGAACGCUGGCGGCGUGCUUAACACAUGCAAGUCGAACGGAAAGGCCCUGCUUUUGUGGGGUGCUCGAGUGGCGAACGGGUGAGUAACACGUGAGUAACCUGCCCUUGACUUUGGGAUAACUUCAGGAAACUGGGGCUAAUACCGGAUAGGAGCUCCUGCUGCAUGGUGGGGGUUGGAAAGUUUCGGCGGUUGGGGAUGGACUCGCGGCUUAUCAGCUUGUUGGUGGGGUAGUGGCUUACCAAGGCUUUGACGGGUAGCCGGCCUGAGAGGGUGACCGGCCACAUUGGGCCUGAGAUAGGGCCCAGACUGCUACGGGAGGCAGCAGUGGGGAAUAUUGCACAAUGGGCGGAAGCCUGAUGCAGCAACGCCGCGUGCGUGAUGACGGCCUGCGGGUUGUAAACCGCUUUCGCCUGUGACGAAGCGUGAGUGACGGUAAUGGGUAAAGAAGCACCGGCUAACUACGUG
RNAcentral lists this ribosomal RNA (468 nucleotides) under uncultured bacterium. Its description in RNAcentral is "partial 16S ribosomal RNA". It matches the Rfam family "Bacterial small subunit ribosomal RNA", at positions 28 to 507 of the family's 1533-position model. The record is from RNAcentral.